GAUGAACGCUGGCGGCGUGCCUAAUACAUGCAAGUCGAGCGAAUGGAUUAAGAGCUUGCUCUUAUGAAGUUAGCGGCGGACGGGUGAGUAACACGUGGGUAACCUGCCCAUAAGACUGGGAUAACUCCGGGAAACCGUGGCUAAUACCGGAUAAUAUUUUGAACUGCAUGGUUCAAAAUUGAAAGGCGGCUUCGGCUGUCACUUAUGGAUGGACCCGCGUCGCAUUAGCUAGUUGGUGAGGUAACGGCUCACCAAGGCAACGAUGCGUAGCCGACCUGGGAGGGUGAUCAGCCACACGGGGACUGAGACACGGCCAAGACUCCUACGGGAGGCAGCAGUAGGGAAUCUUCCGCAAUGGACGAAAGUCUGACGGAGCAACGCCGCGUGAGUGAUGAGGGCUUUCGGGUCGUAAAACUCUGUUGUUAGUGAAGAACAAGUGCUAGUUGAAUAAGCUGGCACCUUGACGGUACCUAACCAGAAAGCCACGGCUAACUACGUGCCAGCAGCCGCGGUAA
This 515-nucleotide ribosomal RNA is filed under the name uncultured bacterium. RNAcentral describes it as "partial 16S ribosomal RNA". It matches the Rfam family "Bacterial small subunit ribosomal RNA", at positions 28 to 523 of the family's 1533-position model. The record is from RNAcentral.